This 76-nucleotide transfer RNA is filed under the name Paracoccaceae bacterium. Its description in RNAcentral is "Rhodobacteraceae bacterium tRNA-Trp". It matches the Rfam family "tRNA". Rfam says of the family: Transfer RNA (tRNA) molecules are approximately 80 nucleotides in length. Their secondary structure includes four short double-helical elements and three loops (D, anti-codon, and T loops). The record is from RNAcentral. Lineage: Bacteria; Pseudomonadati; Pseudomonadota; Alphaproteobacteria; Rhodobacterales; Paracoccaceae.
AGGGGUGUAGCUCAGUUGGUAGAGCACCGGUCUCCAAAACCGGGCGUCGGGGGUUCGAGCCCCUCCACCCCUGCCA